GGUUCAUUCAAAUUUCUGCCCUAUCAACUUUCGAUGGUAAGGUAUUGGCUUACCAUGGUUUCAACGGGUAACGGGGAAUUAGGGUUCGAUUCCGGAGAGGGAGCCUGAGAAACGGCUACCACAUCCAAGGAAGGCAGCAGGCGCGCAAAUUACCCAAUCCCGACCGGGGAGGUAGUGACAAUAAAUACUGAUACAGGGCUCUUUUGAGUCUUGUAAUUGGAAUGAGUACAAUUUAAAUCCCUUAACGAGGAACAAUUGGAGGGCAAGUCUGGUGCCAGCAGCCGCGGUAAUUCCAGCUCCAAUAGCGUAUAUUAAAGUUGUUGCAGUUAAAAAGCUCGUAGUUG
Molecule: ribosomal RNA, 344 nt
Filed under: uncultured fungus
Lineage: Eukaryota; Fungi
Description: SSU rRNA
Rfam family: Eukaryotic small subunit ribosomal RNA
Source: RNAcentral